This 482-nucleotide ribosomal RNA is filed under the name uncultured bacterium. RNAcentral describes it as "partial 16S ribosomal RNA". It matches the Rfam family "Bacterial small subunit ribosomal RNA", at positions 30 to 507 of the family's 1533-position model. The record is from RNAcentral.
AUUGAACGCUGGCGGCAUGCUUUACACAUGCAAGUCGAACGGUAACAGGCCGCAAGGUGCUGACGAGUGGCGAACGGGUGAGUAAUGCAUCGGAACGUGCCCAGUCGUGGGGGAUAACUACUCGAAAGAGUAGCUAAUACCGCAUACGAUCUAUGGAUGAAAGCGGGGGACCGUAAGGCCUCGCGCGAUUGGAGCGGCCGAUGUCAGAUUAGGUAGUUGGUGGGGUAAAGGCUCACCAAGCCAACGAUCUGUAGCUGGUCUGAGAGGACAACCAGCCACACUGGGACUGAGACACGGCCCAGACUCCUACGGGAGGCAGCAGUGGGGAAUUUUGGACAAUGGGCGCAAGCCUGAUCCAGCAAUGCCGCGUGCAGGAAGGAGGCCUUCGGGUUGUAAACUGCUUUUGUACGGAACGAAACGGCUCUGGUUAAUACCCGGGGCUAAUGACGGUACCGUAAGAAUAAGCACCGGCUAACUACGUG